This 1100-nucleotide long non-coding RNA is filed under the name Fukomys damarensis (Damara mole-rat). RNAcentral describes it as "lncRNA (ENSFDAG00000026445.1)". The record is from RNAcentral. Lineage: Eukaryota; Metazoa; Chordata; Mammalia; Rodentia; Bathyergidae.
GGGUUCACUUGUUCUUUCUCAAGUUUAGGUUUAGCCAGUGCAGGACAACAGUAGGGAAGUGAAAGGAGGGGGAGUGAGGUGAGGGAGAGUGGACUCCUCUGCUUUCUUUCUUCAGGGUGGCCUUGAACUGGCCCUGACUCUCAAAGGAAGACUGUAGCACGUCUCAAGGCGGCCCACUUCACACAGCUCUCUCUCCCCCCAGGUUCCAGGAAUUCUCUUUUUUCUUCUCCCUUCAAAAACAAGGGGUUUGGGGGCGGGGAUUUAGCUCAGUGGUUCUGCCUCCUGCCUUGCAAGGGCAAUGUCCUGAGUUCUAUUCCCAGUACCAAAAAAAAAAAAAAAGGAGGGUAGAGUUAUUGCAACACUGCUGUACUCCCAUUUAUGGUUUCCUUGUUCUGCACAGACCUUCAUACAUCCUUUCAUUAAGCUGUCUUUGCACAACCCAGUUUCAGAGAACUAUGUGCUCCCUUCUGGGACCUUGAAUAAUGCAAGUAUAAAAUGCUUUGAGCAAUGAGCGAGUGAGCACUGUCUGAUAGCCAAAGUACAAGAGAGAAGCGAAGAAGACCUGAGCUGCACAGGAAGCAGUGGAGAUGGAAGAGAGGGCCAGUGAAUAAAGCAUCACAGAAGAGGAGCAACCAGACCGGAGAACUACUGGCUCUCCCUUUAUACUUCUGCCUCUUUUUCAGCAUCCAUGACGACCAAACUUAAUCCCAGUGCUUAGCAUUAAAAAUAACUACCUUUAAAUCCUUAAUAGGGAGAUGUGUUCUGUUGCCUCUAAAGACCCUUUAAUUCUUUCAACCCAGAGUGGCAGAAUGCUGGUGACAAAGGCAUCAGGUCACCAACUACCACAUCAGCUCCCUUCCCAGCUUGGAGAUCAAUUGCCCUUUUCUUCGCCACUCUUCUGGACCAAAUUAGCAAGAUCCAACAGGUAGCUUAAGAAGAGGAGAAGCACAACUGGGGAAAACCUAGACAAUCUGCAGCUCACUAAAGGAUGCGGUUUUGGCUUUGAUACCAAAAUAUCUGUCCCUAUCCUCACCCAAAUAUCUUCUCAGUCAGGUAAGAUUAGAGUGAGGAGCCUUGUGCUUUUUCCAUUUGUUGAUAAG